CUCGUCAAUCUCUCUACAACCGUCGUCUCCAGAUCAGUGGAGCUCAUCGCUGCCACCGUCACCAGAUCACAGCGGAUACAUCAAGUGGUUCUCUCCCUCUUCUUCCCCCCUCUCUCUUCUUUCCUCCACAUGGCCGCCGUUGUCGGAUCACAGCUGAGCUCAUCGCGUGAGCAGCGAGCAACGGUCUUCCUCUUUUUCCCUUCAUCUUCCCCUCCUCUCUCUAUAUUUGUCUCUCUAUACUCCAUUGCAAAUGGCAGCCAUUGCCAAGCAGUGAUUUCACUGCGAUGCCUUUGAGCGCUAUUUCACAGUGCAGCUUGUAGCGUCAGAGAAGCUGUAUGUUUACUGCGAAUGGCACACCGCCAUCGUAGCAGCUUCUUAAGCAACGCACGAUCGGUGGCGGUGUUCUUUUUUGUUAUUGUUUUGAUGUUAGUUGUAGGUGGUUUAAUUGUCUUCAGUUUUGCAAAUGGUUGUUUUUAGUGGUGGAAGUGGACCAGUGGUGUUGGUGGUUGUUUAGUUGUGGUGUUGUGGUGGUAGUAUUGGAGGUUGUUGAUGGCGGGUUGCAAAAUGUCGGCGAUGGUACCGGUGUCGAUGAUGGUGCAUUUCGGUUGGAAUUAGUGUUGGUGGCGAUGGUAUGUGACCUACUGUUUGGUGUAUGUGACCAAAUUUAUGGUUAUCUGUGACCAAAUAUUUGACUGUGAUCGUAGUGGCAAUGGCGGUAGCAUUGGUGGCGAUGGUAUGUGACCUGCUAUUUGGUAUAUGUGACCAAAUUUUUGGUUAUCUGCGACCAAGUAUUUAACUGUGGUCGUAGUGGCAGUGGCGGUAAUGUUGCUGACAAUUGUAUGUGACCCGCUAUUUUGGUGUAUGUGACCAAUUUUUUGGUUAUUUGUGACCAAGGAUUUAACUGCCACCUAAAAAUAUGAUAAUAGGUGAUUAAAAAAUAAUUUGUGAUCAAAUAAUUUGAAAAUCUGUGGUCGACAAGUACAUUGUGACCUUAAUUUGUAAACAAUGAAAUAAUCAGUGAUCAAUUAAUAUGACAAUAAAUGAAGUUGUGACCUAUAAGUACCAGGAAUUAUACAUUUGUGACCUUAAUAUAUUGAAUUAAUAAAAUAUUAUUAAUUAAUAAAAAACAUUUCUGCACUUUUAAACUUAGGCCCUGAAAUUUGAAUUGAUCGUACUUAAAAGUUGAAUUGUGAAUUUUUCCAUUUUCCUGUUUCUAAUUUUUAGUCCAAGCCCAACUUAAUCAAUUUGACCUAAAUUUUACCCAAAUAUGUUAUUCUACUGCAGUGUCAUUUCUACCAUUUUGAAGAAAUCGAAUUGAAACUAGACAACUCCUAUCUUAAUUAUUGUAAGACGCAAAAGACAUAAGAUUGCACUAUGUUAUUUUGUACGAGCUAAAAUCGAAUAUAUCAUUAGUUGAAUUAAUGUAGUUUUGUAAAUAUUAAAAAAAAUUAAUUAUAGUACCGAACUUGGGAACCGAAUGAAACUGAACCAACAGAACUAAAUCGAACUUGAACGAUUUCAUAAUUAAAUUUGGACUCGAUGUUUCCACUUACUAAAUACCAAAAAAUUUUAAGUUCGAUUUGAUUCUCGUUGAAAUCGAGCCGAACCGAACCAUGCUGAUCCCCAUAUGCGAGUCCACACGUUUAGCUUAGAUCAUUUCCAACCCUAUUGCACCAAAUUAAAAAUCAUCUCCAACCCAUUACACCAAUAGUUGCACCAAAUGAAUAGUGUUUGGUCAUUUUCUUUAUUUCCUUCAUUUUUAACAAAUUAUAUAGCUGAAAAAUUAUUUAUUUAUUAGAUUUACUACUACAUAAAUUAUUUAAUAUGUUUUAAGAUGUAGUAUAAUUAAUAAAAAUAUCAUAACUAAGAAAAUAUGAAAUCAUGGUAUUCAAAAUAACGUAGUACAUUUCGAAUCUCGAAAUUAUGGUACGACAAUUAAAGUUUUUUACAAUUAAUAAAAAAUCACAACUAAGAAAACUUUUUGAGUACUUUUAUUUUAAUUCGUUCAUCUAUUAUUAUUAAUCACACGAUAAAAGUUUAUUACAAAUAAUAAUAAUAAUAAUAAUAAUAAUAAUAAUAAUAAUAAUAAUAAUAAUCAACCACUUAAUUAUGAAUUAAAAUUUAUGUAUAAUAUAAAAUGACACAAAUACCUUCAUAUUACUUGGUCAUAAUGAAAAGUGGAUCAAAAUGGACUUUAAUCACAUUUGGUGCAAAAUUGUGCAAGAUUUGGUGUUGGAUUGGAGUGAUAUAUUUGGUGAAAAAUGGAGAAAUUGUUGGGUUGCGAGGGCGGGGGGUAGUGAAAUUGUGUAAGAGUUGGAGAUACCCUUAUGUUUGGUUCUCUUUUUUUAAAACUUAUUUUUAACUAUUCUUUUCUAAAAUAAUUUUAUACGUAAAUCGAAAUUUUUUUCUUAUUUUUAACCACACAUUCUCAAAAACAUUACUAUUUCAAAUACUUUCUUAUAAAAAUGGGCGUUAAACAGGGGCUUAAUCUUUUUCUAUUCCUUAAUUAUUUUAAUGUAGGAAAUUGAAGUCAACCAUAACAUUAAACUAGAUUUUUGCACUGUAAACUUGAGACAUCGGGAACGGUGUAAUUUCCCCUAUUUAUAUUCCUUAAAAGUUGAAACCGUGGGAUUUUCUCUUAUCCGACCGUUUCACAAAUUUAAAUUUGCUUUUUUAUUUUAUUUUUCAAAUUAAUUAAUAGGAUCACACACGAACAGUUCAACAAUAAAAUCCAAUAGAAAUUUAAUUGAAGUGUUGAUUAGACUUGUACCGUGCAUAUCACAAAUUACCAUGACACGUUCUGUGAGUAGGAAUCGAAUCGAAUCGAGCGAUUUUUCUUAAAUUAAAUAUUCGAACAGGUAUCUGAAUCGAGAACCGACGGAUUCGGUUCGUUUAGAUUCUCAAUUCUAGAUCAAUAAUCGAAUAAGGACCAAAUCCCUAUUUUUUAUAAUUUAUUUAUUUUAAAUAAGUCCAAUUAUUUUUUUCUUAAAAAAUUUACUAAUUAGUUAAUUUAGUUCAAAUAAAAAAAUAUGAUUUUCCUAUGUGGAAAUUACACCUAUACAGGUGUUUAAAGAUCAGAUUUCAAAAAUAAGGUCUAAAGUGUACCUAUUCAAAAAUCAGGUUUUUAAUAUACUCUUACCCCAUCCCAUUCAUCCAAUUAAAAUUUAAAACCCUAAUUAUUUUCUCCCCCUUUAUCCAUGCUUCUCCUCGUCAAUCUCUCUACAACCGUCGUCUCCAGAUCAGUGGAGCUCAUCGCUGCCACCGUCACCAGAUCACAGCGGAUACAUCAAGUGGUUCUCUCCCUCUUCUUCCCCCCUCUCUCUUCUUUCCUCCACAUGGCCGCCGUUGUCGGAUCACAGCUGAGCUCGUCGCGUGAGCAGCGAGCAACGGUCUUCCUCUUUUUCCCUUCAUCUUCCCCUCCUCUCUCUAUAUUUGUCUCUCUAUACUCCAUUGCAAAUGGCAGCCAUUGCCAAGCAGUGAUUUCACUGCGAUGCCUUUGAGCGCUAUUUCACAGUGCAGCUUGUAGCGUCAGAGAAGCUGUAUGUUUACUGCGAAUGGCACACCGCCAUCGUAGCAGCUUCUUAAGCAACGCACGAUCGGUGGCGGUGUUCUUUUUUGUUAUUGUUUUGAUGUUAGUUGUAGGUGGUUUAAUUGUCUUCAGUUUUGCAAAUGGUUGUUUUUAGUGGUGGAAGUGGACCAGUGGUGUUGGUGGUUGUUUAGUUGUGGUGCUGUGGUGGUAGUAUUGGAGGUUGUUGAUGGCGGGUUGCAAAAUGUCGCGAUGGUACCGGUGUCAAUGAUGGUGCAUUUCGGUUGGAAUUAGUGUUGGUGGCGAUGGUAUGUGACCUACUGUUUGGUGUAUGUAACCAAAUUUAUGGUUAUCUGUGACCAAAUAUUUGACUGUGAUCGUAGUGGCAAUGGCGGUAGCAUUGGUGGCGAUGGUAUGUGACCUGCUAUUUGGUAUAUGUGACCAAAUUUUUGGUUAUCUGCGACCAAGUAUUUAACUGUGGUCGUAGUGGCAGUGGCGGUAAUGUUGCUGACAAUUGUAUGUGACCCGCUAUUUUGGUGUAUGUGACCAAUUUUUUGGUUAUUUGUGACCAAGGAUUUAACUGCCACCUAAAAAUAUGAUAAUAGGUGAUUAAAAAAUAAUUUGUGAUCAAAUAAUUUGAAAAUCUGUGGUCGACAAGUACAUUGUGACCUUAAUUUGUAAACAAUGAAAUAAUCAGUGAUCAAUUAAUAUGACAAUAAAUGAAGUUGUGACCUAUAAGUACCAGGAAUUAUACAUUUGUGACCUUAAUAUAUUGAAUUAAUAAAAUAUUAUUAAUUAAUAAAAAACCUGAUUUCUGCACUUUUAAACUUAGGCCCUGAAAUUUGAAUUGAUC
RNAcentral lists this long non-coding RNA (4379 nucleotides) under Olea europaea (common olive). Its description in RNAcentral is "long non-coding RNA (OEUR_LNC014988)". Lineage: Eukaryota; Viridiplantae; Streptophyta; Magnoliopsida; Lamiales; Oleaceae. The record is from RNAcentral.